RNAcentral lists this ribosomal RNA (480 nucleotides) under uncultured bacterium. RNAcentral describes it as "partial 16S ribosomal RNA". It matches the Rfam family "Bacterial small subunit ribosomal RNA", at positions 28 to 507 of the family's 1533-position model. The record is from RNAcentral.
GAUGAACGCUAGCGGCAGGCCUAACACAUGCAAGUCGAGGGGGAGGUUACUUUCGGGUAACUGAGACCGGCGUACGGGUGCGUAACGCGUAUACAAUCUGCCUUUCACUGGGGGAUAGCCCGAAGAAAUUUGGAUUAAAACCCCAUAGUAUAGUAAUACGGCAUCGUGAUGCUAUUAAAGCUUAGGUGGUGAAAGAUGAGUAUGCGUUCUAUUAGCUAGUUGGAGAGGUAACGGCUCCCCAAGGCGAUGAUAGAUAGGGGUUCUGAGAGGGAUGUCCCCCACACUGGUACUGAGAUACGGACCAGACUCCUACGGGAGGCAGCAGUGAGGAAUAUUGGACAAUGGUCGGAAGACUGAUCCAGCCAUGCCGCGUGCAGGAUGAAGGUCUUAUGGAUUGUAAACUGCUUUUGUAAGGGAAGAAUAAGGGCUACGCGUAGUUUGAUGACGGUACCUUACGAAUAAGCAUCGGCUAACUCCGUG